RNAcentral lists this RNase P RNA (213 nucleotides) under Klebsiella pneumoniae. RNAcentral describes it as "partial RNase P RNA component class A". It matches the Rfam family "Bacterial RNase P class A", at positions 1 to 188 of the family's 367-position model. From Rfam's summary of the family: Ribonuclease P (RNase P) is a ubiquitous endoribonuclease, found in archaea, bacteria and eukarya as well as chloroplasts and mitochondria. Lineage: Bacteria; Pseudomonadati; Pseudomonadota; Gammaproteobacteria; Enterobacterales; Enterobacteriaceae. The record is from RNAcentral.
GAAGCUGACCAGACAGUCGCCGCUUCGUCGUCGUCCCUUUCGGGGGAGACGGGCGGAGGGGAGGAAAGUCCGGGCUCCAUAGGGCAGGGUGCCAGGUAACGCCUGGGGGGCGCAAGCCCACGACCAGUGCAACAGAGAGCAAACCGCCGAUGGCCCGCGCAAGCGGGAUCAGGUAAGGGUGAAAGGGUGCGGUAAGAGCGCACCGCGCGGCUG